AGGUACCCCUGAGGUCUAACUCUGGAACUCCUUGGAUAAUGAGAAAAGGGGGGCUUCGGAACCCAGGAUGUGGGUUCCACAUCCUGCGGGGGCAGGGAGGCCGCGCGGGAGGCCGCCAGACGCAGUAAAUAAUUCACACAGAUGAACUGGAGAUAAGGGCGGCUUCGUGGAGGAUCGAGUUCAGGCAGACUUUAUAAACCAGAGCAGCUGCCUGAAGGUUUCCAAGAAAAAAAUUCUGCACAGUUUCUAACCAGGGUGACAGUUCCCCUCCACAGGAAGUUACUUUUAUUAAUUUUUGUAUCUCUUCUUUUGUAAGACUAUCUGUCGGUCAUCAGGCAGCACCUGUGGGCAUUUUCUUAUUUUUUCCCCCCCACUGCUCCCAUUUGCCUGGAAUUCAUUAUUAAAUCUAACUCACAGUGGCCUUGCCCAACACAGGGGCGAAGUUCGAACUACUGAAAAAUGGGUCACUCAAAUCGCCUGUGCAGAAGAAUCCCAAAUAAUUUAUGGAGAUACUCCUCCCUCAAGGCGGUGAAACAUAAAUCCCUGUCCCUGAAGUGUGGGCUGUGCAUAAUGAUUUCCUUCUAUGGAGUAUAGUAUGGAAAGCAGGGGGAAAGAGUAAUCUUGCAGGAGAGAAACCUGACAAGCACUAGCUCAGCCAGAUGGCCAAGGUCAACAUCAGCAGUGAUCAGUCGUGUCUAUAGCGUGGACAGUUGAUAUCAUGUGAUGGAAACAGCACAUCACCCCCAAACCCAUAACCACAGUUUAACCAUGAGAAAAUAGCAGACAGACCCCACCUGAGGGACAGUCUACAAAGUACGUGACCAAUAGUCCAUCAAAAACAAGGAAAGUCUGAGAAACUACCACAGCCAAGAGCAGCCUAGGGAAAUAAGAUGGCUGCAUGCAAUGUGAGAGACCCUGUGGAACAGAGAAAGAAUGGGGGGUAAAAACUAAUAAAAUCCAAAUAAACUACAGAGUUUAGUUAACAAUAA
RNAcentral lists this long non-coding RNA (989 nucleotides) under Pongo abelii (Sumatran orangutan). Its description in RNAcentral is "lincRNA". Lineage: Eukaryota; Metazoa; Chordata; Mammalia; Primates; Hominidae. The record is from RNAcentral.